This 497-nucleotide ribosomal RNA is filed under the name uncultured bacterium. RNAcentral describes it as "partial 16S ribosomal RNA". It matches the Rfam family "Bacterial small subunit ribosomal RNA", at positions 28 to 507 of the family's 1533-position model. The record is from RNAcentral.
GAUGAACGCUGGCGGCGUGCCUAAUACAUGCAAGUCGAGCGAACAGACGAGGAGCUUGCUCCUCUGACGUUAGCGGCGGACGGGUGAGUAACACGUGGAUAACCUACCUAUAAGACUGAGAUAACUUCGGGAAACCGGAGCUAAUACCGGGUAAUAUAUUGAACCGCAUGGUUCAAUAGUGAAAGACGGUUUUGCUGUCACUUAUAGAUGGAUCCGCGCCGCAUUAGCUAGUUGGUAAGGUAACGGCUUACCAAGGCAACGAUGCGUAGCCGACCUGAGAGGGUGAUCGGCCACACUGGAACUGAGACACGGUCCAGACUCCUACGGGAGGCAGCAGUAGGGAAUCUUCCGCAAUGGGCGAAAGCUUGACGGAGCAACGCCGCGUGAGUGAUGAAGGUCUUCGGAUCGUAAAACUCUGUUAUUAGGGAAGAACAAAUGUGUAAGUAACUAUGCACGUCUUGACGGUACCUAAUCAGAAAGCCACGGCUAACUACGUG